Molecule: ribosomal RNA, 495 nt
Filed under: uncultured bacterium
Lineage: Bacteria
Description: partial 16S ribosomal RNA
Rfam family: Bacterial small subunit ribosomal RNA
Source: RNAcentral
GACGAACGCUGGCGGCGUGCCUAAUACAUGCAAGUAGAACGCUGAAGGAGGAGCUUGCUUCUCUGGAUGAGUUGCGAACGGGUGAGUAACGCGUAGGUAACCUGCCUGGUAGCGGGGGAUAACUAUUGGAAACGAUAGCUAAUACCGCAUAAUAGCAGUUGUUGCAUGACAACUGUUUGAAAGGUGCAAUUGCACCACUACCAGAUGGACCUGCGUUGUAUUAGCUAGUUGGUGGGGUAACGGCUCACCAAGGCGACGAUACAUAGCCGACCUGAGAGGGUGAUCGGCCAAACUGGGAAUGAGACACGGCCCAGACUCCUACGGGAGGCAGCAGUAGGGAAUCUUCGGCAAUGGACGGAAGUCUGACCGAGCAACGCCGCGUGAGUGAAGAAGGGUUUCGGAUCGUAAAGCUCUGUUGUAAGAGAAGAACGAGUGUGAGAGUGGAAAGUUCACACUGUGACGGUAGCUUACCAGAAAGGGACGGCUAACUACGUG